UCCCAGAUAGUAUAGUGGUCAGUAUUUCGGCUUGUCAAGCACCAGCUCGCCGGAGGCCGGAGUUCGAUUCUCCGUCUGGGAG
Molecule: non-coding RNA, 82 nt
Organism: Phaeosphaeriaceae sp. PMI808
Lineage: Eukaryota; Fungi; Ascomycota; Dothideomycetes; Pleosporales; Phaeosphaeriaceae
Source: the annotation of a GenBank genome assembly